Molecule: non-coding RNA, 815 nt
Organism: Nicotiana tabacum (common tobacco)
Lineage: Eukaryota; Viridiplantae; Streptophyta; Magnoliopsida; Solanales; Solanaceae
Source: RefSeq, a predicted model, not a curated record
GUUUAAAGCUAGAAAGACAGCAAAUUUAGCACUAAGUCACAAUUUUCCAUUUUCUACUCCGUCGGGACCUUCGCUAAUUGCAUCGAUUAGCCAAACAAAAUUUGAAGAUUCCGGCAAAAACAUGUGCUACGGCGAUCAACGACUGCCGUCGAGGGAUGAUUUUACUGACCCGAACCGUAUCCGAACCCGACCCAGACCUGCGGUGGUGCAAAACCUAAGAGAGCGGCUAGCGGAGGUGAAUGAACGGCUGGAACAAGCCAGGGCUCGUAAAGCCGAGUUGACUCGGCAACUCGAGGAGAUGAAAAAGUUCGUCGGCGUCAUGGAAAUUCUCGAGAGUUACAUCGAACGCCAGUUCCGUGAAAAUCAACUUCAGCUUGCCCAACUUUACAGUUAAUGUUUAGCCUUAAUCAAAGUCUCUUGCAGAAAUCCAGAGUAAGGCGGUGUACAAUAGACCCUUGUGGUCCGGCCCUUCACUAGACCCCCCGCGUAUAGCCGAAGCUUAGUGCAUCGGGCUGCCCCUUUUACCUGUGUUACAACCACAUAUAUCUGCGUUGUUUUAUUUAUGAAAUUUCCUACUUAUAACUCCAAAGGUAAAGAUCCAAACAUGUGAUGCAGUUGUGUACGUUGGCUGGAUGUUCAAUUCUGAGACGGCUCAUGGCAUUUUCUGUUAUUAGUUUACUGUUAGCACAGCUUUCUACAUAUUUGAGAAUGUAGGCCUCUUUAGUAGCGGCCUCUUCCAUGUUUUGUAGUGCUAAGUUCUGGUUGUUUGAAAUUGCUCGAAUAAAAUGGUUCCUUUAAUGCGAUGUUGCAAGUGA